This is a long non-coding RNA of Glycine soja, 429 nucleotides long. RefSeq lists it as uncharacterized. The transcript is spliced from 2 exons. The record is from RefSeq and is a predicted model, not a curated record. Lineage: Eukaryota; Viridiplantae; Streptophyta; Magnoliopsida; Fabales; Fabaceae.
UCUAUUUAUAUAAUUUUAAUAAUUUUUAUUUCUACACUCAGUUUAUCCAUUUGAUUCGCUGAAAAACGAAUGGCUGUGACAAAGCGAGCUUGCCCUUAGUCACCAUUCUUCUUCAACUGAUUCGAACGAGCCUCAGUGGAAGAAGAAUUGUUAGCUCAAAUGUGCCAUCAAAAGCACAACUCAAACUAUGAAGGGGAAUCAGUUAAUUGCAAUGCUUAUAUCCACAUCACUAAGCAGAAGGAUAAAUUGAUCAUCACCAUAGACUUCUUCUGCCCAAUGUUUUGGUUUCUCAAUGCUUUAGUCAGAAAUAAGACCCAUUUUCUGUGCUUCCAGUGAUCUAUUUACUAGACUCUUAAUAUAUAUCACCAAUCUUGGAUGUUACUAGACUACUUUCAUUAGUAGAGAGAGAAUCUUGGUUGAGGUUUCCAA